ACGGCCGUACCAUGCUGAAUAUACCGGUCCUCGUUAGAUCACCGAAGUCAAGCAUCAUUGGGCGCGCUCAGUACUGAUCAGUCAGUACCCGGUGGGAGACCACCGGGGAACACCGCGUGCAGUC
Caerostris darwini is the source of this 124-nucleotide non-coding RNA. Lineage: Eukaryota; Metazoa; Arthropoda; Arachnida; Araneae; Araneidae. The record is from the annotation of a GenBank genome assembly.